UCAGAGGCCUGCGCGGUGCGAGCCGGCGAGCGAGCGAACCAAGUCCCCACCGCAGCGCGGCUCGUCACACCUGCUCUCCGCCCGCCCGCCCGCAGCGCGCUUUCCAGUCACGCCAGCGCCCCCGCCGCCCCUUCAGCUUUUCCAUACUCUCUCACACCUCUUGUCGCCGCCUCCGUUCGCGCUGCGGCCUUCUUUUCCUACGGAGAGGGCCGUGGGCUCACCGGGCCGCGUUCUCAGGCAGGUUUCUAGCUCUCACCUGUAGUCAGUCCCCUGUCCCUGCCCUUCCGGGUGGGCCGGGGCCUCAGGGACCCCGCAUGGCAUGGCGGGUGCACACCCACCUGCUUGUAUUGGUCAGCGCGCCCUGCUUUCCCUCCCUCGGGACUCCUGGAGGAUCUCUGGUAGCCAAUGCAGGCUUUUCCUCUACUUAAGUUACAGGCAGCCCUUUUGGUUGUCCAUACUACCCCUACUCAAGAUGCAGCUUGAUUAUUAAUAAUAGACAUUCGCGGACCCGCUAAAAGUCAGAAAGAACACAAGAAACUCUUAAGGGUCUGUAUAAAAUGAGGAAUUUGUCUCCUUUACAUUUCUAUGACUCUGGAUUAAUGAUUCUAAUGUAUUUGGGAUCACGUUGUGGAUUCAGUGAUUCAGGUAAAAGCAAAACACACAAUGGUAAUGCUUUUAUCUGGUAACUUUUUUUUAAACUACAGCUUAGACAGACUGUAGUACAGAAAUGCAUUAAGCAUACCAAAAUAACAAAAACUGAUUAGGCCUUUGGAGUUACAUCCACGAGUUUGCUUUAAGUUGUGUGAGUAAAUAUUAUUAUCCUUGAAUUGAGCAGUGAAAACUAUCUUCUGUUCUAAACAAAGCCCACACUCUAUGUGGACCUCCAAAGCUUACAACCAUUGUUGACUUGAACAACAGUAUCACAAGCAUUUAAAAUGCCUAAUAAACCAUCUGUCCAUCUACUUUUACACAAAUUGGGAAACAGAAAACAGUGAAUGCUGAAAGCUGAAAAUGAGUAUUCCUAACUGCAAAUGAAUCUUGUAAAUCCUAUUCCACAGAAUAAAAUAUUGUGAAAACCUCAAAGCCUAGGAGCUACCAAUUCAUCAAUCUGGAAGAAGAGUCAUAUAAUUUUAUAAAUGAAUCAUCUAGUCCUUAAGAUCACCUGGAGUCUAAUUUUUUUCAUUUUGCUGAUUGCGAUCUGAAGUCCAGAGAAGGGCAUAGAGGAACCAAGCUGCAACUGACCUGAAAACUUCCUCUCUUCUGGCUAGCUAUCAUGGUACUAGAAGAUACUUUGCAGGCUAAUAGGGGAGAAAGGUGUUACCCACCAGUUAACUCUGAAUGCUACAAUGCCAGGCUUGGAGAACAUCCCAGAAGAGGAGGUGGAAAGAAUCAAAAGGCUGGUGGAUGGGAAGAGUGCUUGCUGGGAGACACUUCUGUAUAUGGCACGGCUGUUGUACUCAUGAACUUACUGUAGCCAUUGUUACCUACACAAGACCUGGACACAAUCUCUUCAUACCACCAGGUAGUGCUAAUCAGUCUUGAUUGGUUGUGCACACAUAGGAAAGAGAAGACAUGAGGGUAUAAGGGGGACAUGUUAGGACUAUUUAAGAGGAAUGGGAGGGAGAAGGGAGAGUUAGGGUGGAUAUGAUUAAGAUACACUGUAUACAUGUAUCCAGUUGACAAAGAAUAAAUAAAAAACAUCUUAAAAUAA
Long non-coding RNA from Peromyscus leucopus (white-footed mouse), 1711 nucleotides. RefSeq lists it as uncharacterized. The record is from RefSeq and is a predicted model, not a curated record. The transcript is spliced from 3 exons. Lineage: Eukaryota; Metazoa; Chordata; Mammalia; Rodentia; Cricetidae.